RNAcentral lists this ribosomal RNA (439 nucleotides) under uncultured bacterium. RNAcentral's name for it is "partial 16S ribosomal RNA". It matches the Rfam family "Bacterial small subunit ribosomal RNA", at positions 339 to 795 of the family's 1533-position model. The record is from RNAcentral.
CUACGGGUCGCAGCAGUGAGGAAUAUUGCACAAUGGGGGGAACCCUGAUGCAGCAACGCCGCGUGGAGGAUGACGCAUUUCGGUGUGUAAACUCCUUUUAUAUGUCAAGAAAAUGACGGUAGCAUAUGAAUAAGCACCGGCUAACUCCGUGCCAGCAGCCGCGGUAAUACGGAGGGUGCAAGCGUUACUCGGAAUCACGGGGCGUAAAGGACGCGUAGGCGGGUUGGAAAGUCAGGUGUGAAAUCCUACAGCUUAACUGUAGAACUGCACUUGAAACUUCUAAUCUAGAGUAUGGGAGGGGGAGAUGGAAUUAGUGGUGUAGGGGUAAAAUCCGUAGAUAUCACUAGGAAUACCUAAAGCGAAGGCGAUCUCCUGGAACAUUACUGACGCUAAGGCGUGAAAGCGUGGGGAGCAAACAGGAUUAGAUACCCCGGUAGUC